CGCUGGCGGCGUGCCUAAUACAUGCAAGUCGAGCGGACCAAAGGGAGCUUGCUCCUGGAGGUCAGCGGCGAACGGGUGAGUAACACGUGGGCAACCUGCCUGUAAGACUGGGAUAACAUCGAGAAGUCGGUGCUAAUACCGGAUAAUAAAAAGAACUGCAUGGUUCUUUUUUGAAAGAUGGUUUCGGCUAUCACUUACAGAUGGGCCCGCGGCGCAUUAGCUAGUUGGUGAGGUAACGGCUCACCAAGGCAACGAUGCGUAGCCGACCUGAGAGGGUGAUCGGCCACACUGGGACUGAGACACGGCCCAGACUCCUACGGGAGGCAGCAGUAGGGAAUCUUCCGCAAUGGACGAAAGUCUGACGGAGCAACGCCGCGUGAGUGAUGAAGGUUUUCGGAUCGUAAAACCCUGUUGUUAGGGAAGAACAAGUGCCGUUCGAAAGGGCGGCACCUUGACGGUACCUAACGAGAAAGCCACGGCUAACUACGUG
Molecule: ribosomal RNA, 490 nt
Filed under: uncultured bacterium
Lineage: Bacteria
Description: bacterial SSU rRNA
Rfam family: Bacterial small subunit ribosomal RNA
Source: RNAcentral